Aedes aegypti (yellow fever mosquito) is the source of this 72-nucleotide non-coding RNA. The record is from Rfam. Lineage: Eukaryota; Metazoa; Arthropoda; Insecta; Diptera; Culicidae.
GGCUCGGUAGCUUGGCUGGUAAAGCACUAGUCUAGCAUACAAGAGUCGUGGGUUCGAAUCCCAGCUGAGCAC